CCCUUAGAUGUCCUGGGCUGCACGCGCGCUACACUGAUGCGUCCAAUAAGCACCUAACCUAAUCCGAAGGGACCGGGUAACCUUAGCAAAGCGCAUCGUGAUGGGGAUAGAUUAUUGCAAUUAUUAGUCUUGAACGAGGAAUUCCUAGUAAGCGCAAGUCAUCAGCUUGUGUUGAUUACGUCCCUGCCCUUUGUACACACCGCCCGUCGCUCCUACCGAUUGAGCGAUCCGGUGAAUACUUCGGACUGCAACCGGUGCGGUUUCCGUACCCUUUGCAAAAAGUUGAAUAAACCUUAUCACUUAGAGGAAGGAGAAGUCGUAACA
This 324-nucleotide ribosomal RNA is filed under the name uncultured eukaryote. Its description in RNAcentral is "partial 18S ribosomal RNA". It matches the Rfam family "Eukaryotic small subunit ribosomal RNA", at positions 1470 to 1796 of the family's 1831-position model. The record is from RNAcentral.